GAUCAAUGUAAGGAUAUACAGUCGUGUGAAAAAAUAAGUACACCCCAUGGAAAGUGUUGACUUUUUGACAUAUUUGGACAAGCAAACAUUUGAUCAUCUUUGGAACGGUGCCUGUUAAUAAAGUCAAACAAAACCACAAUGAAAAUUGACUUUCUCAAUCAUUUACUCAAUAGAAAUAUCUAUAGAUGAAUUCAUAUUCAUUUGGGUUCACACUAGGCAUUAUGGGUAAUGGAAGAGUGGACAAACUAGCCAAACAUACUGGGGAAAAAAGGAGAGAAGAAAACAGACAUGAGUCUCUCAAAGCCAGAAGGAAAUUGUUAGUGGAAGCAGCAGUGGGACCGGGAGAUAAAAGGAAGACAUUUAUACUCCAUAAUGAUACACAGCACCCUCCAUUAAUAUUGGCACCCUUGGUAAAUAUGAGCAUUAAAAAAAUUCACAGAAAUACUCUGCUCUCAUGGACAUCAAACAAUUGAAAUACAACUCAGGUUUAUAUAUAUUUAAAAAAACAAACAAAAAAAACCACCUUGUUAAAUAUAGGUGUGUAUGUGCAACAAUUAUUGGCACCCCUAUGAAUUCAUGGUGCCAAUAUUAAUGGAGGGCAUUGUAGAAUCGGUAUUGUGGAAAGUAAGGGAAGAAACAGAAAAGAGGAGACAAUCAUGACUAGAUUGAGAAUAAUACACAGAAUAGUUCACUUCACAUUAUAAGGAAGCAGCCAGCUGGUUUGUGAUCAUUGCCAGACGGCAGAAUCUGUAGAACAUGUGCUGCAGAAAAUAUAAAGUAGAAAGAAAGGACAUGACGGAAGAAAUGGAAAGAGUAGGAAUAGUACAGCCUCAUACCCACAACGAAGGUCCGCUGUUUUUCAAACAACAAGCCAUGGAUCAACAAUGACAUUAAAGCCCUCCUAAGCAGGAAAAAAGAGGGUACUCAUGGCAGGAGACAGUGAGGAGGUCAGGUCAGUCCAAAAUGAGCUGGGGGGUGUGGCUGAGGAAAGCAAAAAACAGCUACUGGGAGAGGCUAGCUGGAAAAAAACUGUGCAAGCUGGAAAAAAAAACUGUGCCAAAGAGGUAUGGGACAGCAUGAACAGGAUUACUGGACUUAAAAAUUCCAGACCAGCCAUGGAGGGCAGCCUGGAACAUGCAGAAGAGCUAAACCGGUUUUUCAACAGGUUUGACUCAGCCCCCCACCCCUGAGAGCUGAGAAACAUAUCAGAGCCUAGAAUCUAUAAGGUUUAUAUUCUGUGAUACUACAUUAUUUUAUUUCACCAUUGCUUCAACUUCUUCUGACAAUCCUAAAGACAAAAAAUCAGAACAUAACAACAGAAACAAUAUGUUCCUUCGGUUGACUGUUAGGGUCCAAUACAUGUGCAACCUGGAAAAAAAAAUACAAAUAAGCAUAAACUAUCAUCAUGUUUUAAGAUUUUUAGCAUGGCCAGAAUCAAAUGACUACCAUUCUCUGAAGAUGUUCUGGUAAUGGUUGGCACACACUGCUUUAUUUGGAAGCAUGUCCUCCACUGCCAAGAAGGGCUUGUGGCUUGUAGUCACAGCGUGACAUGUGUGCUCUUCAAAAGAUAAAAAGGGGAAAAAACCAACAACAUGAAUUAUCACAUCAUCUCAAUCAAAGAUGACUAAACUUCCAACCACUACAGGGUCUUCACACCUAAAAUUUGGCUGCAUACUAAACCUACACCAACUAGAACAUGAUUAGCCGGUUAAGGUACUUGGCACUUAAAUUUAAGCGCGGACACAAAAAUAAACCUUCAAAACCCCACCCAAAUCGUGUAGGGCGACACGCGUCAUCCACACCCUACACUCAGUCAGUCGCUCUUUUGCUUUACGGCGGAGUACAACACAGAAAACGGCUCUCCUUUGUCGGAAGACUUUAAACAAGGUAUUGCUUAAUUUUGGAAGAUGGCACACCGUAGGCUCCUGGACAAUGACUUUCUUCUUUUGCUUUUGCUUCUUCGGAAAUUAUGCUUGGAUUACUCCGAAAAGCCAACACUCUGUCUGCCUAUGUGAGCUAUGUCUUCAGGCUGAGGAAAUUUAAUAUUGCAGGUCACCUAAAGGGCAGUUUAGAGUACACUGCGAAAGGCUCUCAGGUCAAAUUAACCACCAAUUUGGGUCUGAACUUCACCAAGAGUGGAAACACAAAUAUUUGGCCUGUGAAUGAACAACAAACACAGGUUAAUUUCCUGUUGAAGAACAGCAUCCAGUUUAAUAGACCUGGGCUUCUGAUACAGAAACUUAGGCUUGGAGAACUACGAAAAGGAACCAAUCUCAUGGCUUCUGUGAGGUAUCAGAAAUAUGAUGUGCCCGUUGAGAUAACGUACAGCUACACCACCAAAGAAGCAUGGUUCUACAAAUUCGAUAGCAGAGCAGUUCUAAACUGCACCACCAGUAGCAACACCACUUUUUGUCCGGUGUAUACACAGGAUAGUUUCUCUAUGGAAGUCAGCAUCCUGUUUUCUAAGCUGGGCUACUAAGGUCUGUGCCAAUCAACAUACCUGUGUAAAUAUUGCAUUGUUCAUCUUUGGAACGGUGCCUGUUAAUAAAGUAAAACAAAACCAC
Ictalurus punctatus (channel catfish) is the source of this 2564-nucleotide long non-coding RNA. Lineage: Eukaryota; Metazoa; Chordata; Actinopteri; Siluriformes; Ictaluridae. The record is from Ensembl.